RNAcentral lists this ribosomal RNA (497 nucleotides) under uncultured bacterium. RNAcentral describes it as "partial 16S ribosomal RNA". It matches the Rfam family "Bacterial small subunit ribosomal RNA", at positions 28 to 507 of the family's 1533-position model. The record is from RNAcentral.
GAUGAACGCUGGCGGCGUGCCUAAUACAUGCAAGUAGAACGCUGAAGGAAGGAGCUUGCUCUUUCCGGAUGAGUUGCGAACGGGUGAGUAACGCGUAGGUAACCUGCCUGGUAGCGGGGGAUAACUAUUGGAAACGAUAGCUAAUACCGCAUAACAGUAGAUGUUGCAUGAUAUCUACUUAAAAGGUGCAAUUGCACCACUACCAGAUGGACCUGCGUUGUACUAGCUAGUUGGUGAGGUAACGGCUCACCAAGGCGACGAUACAUAGCCGACCUGAGAGGGUGAUCGGCCACACUGGGACUGAGACACGGCCCAGACUCCUACGGGAGGCAGCAGUAGGGAAUCUUCGGCAAUGGACGGAAGUCUGACCGAGCAACGCCGCGUGAGUGAAGAAGGUUUUCGGAUCGUAAAGCUCUGUUGUAAGAGAAGAACGAGUGUGAGAGUGGAAAGUUCACACUGUGACGGUAUCUUACCAGAAAGGGACGGCUAACUACGUG